UAAAUUUUUGGAAACGUUUCU
RNAcentral lists this non-coding RNA (21 nucleotides) under Caenorhabditis elegans. The record is from RNAcentral. Lineage: Eukaryota; Metazoa; Nematoda; Chromadorea; Rhabditida; Rhabditidae.